Molecule: ribosomal RNA, 466 nt
Filed under: uncultured bacterium
Lineage: Bacteria
Description: partial 16S ribosomal RNA
Rfam family: Bacterial small subunit ribosomal RNA
Source: RNAcentral
GAUGAACGCUGGCGGCGUGCUUAACACAUGCAAGUCGAACGGAAAGGCCCAAGCUUGCUUGGGUACUCGAGUGGCGAACGGGUGAGUAACACGUGGGUGAUCUGCCCCGCACUUCGGGAUAAGCCUGGGAAACUGGGUCUAAUACCGGAGAGGACCACUUCUUGGGGGUUGUGGUGGAAAGUUUUUUCGGUGUGGGAUGAGCUCGCGGCCUAUCAGCUUGUUGGUGGGGUAAUGGCCUACCAAGGCGUCGACGGGUAGCCGGCCUGAGAGGGUGUACGGCCACAUUGGGACUGAGAUACGGACCAGAAUCCUACGGGAGGCAGCAGUGGGGAAUAUUGCACAAUGGGCGCAAGCCUGAUGCAGAGACGCCGCGUGGGGGAUGACGGCCUUCAGGUUGUAAACUCCUUUCGCUAGGGACGAAGCGCAAGUGACGGUACCUAGAGAAGAAGCACCGGCUAACUACGUG